UGAAUAAGGGAAAAAACCACGGCCCCGAGAGAAGCAACUGAUAUCACUAUAGUAAGGAAUUUUUACACUUUGUAGUUCUGAGUAAAAUACUUCAAAGACCACUACAACACUCAAACGAAAUAGCCCUCUUUUGAUAUUCCCACCUUACUACAAUAUUGCUCACUUUCUAUUUUCCUCACAGACUAUUUUCUUAUACCUUGUCUGUGAAACCUCACUCUUUCUU
This 223-nucleotide long non-coding RNA is filed under the name Nicotiana benthamiana. RNAcentral's name for it is "long non-coding RNA (NBEN_LNC024992)". The record is from RNAcentral. Lineage: Eukaryota; Viridiplantae; Streptophyta; Magnoliopsida; Solanales; Solanaceae.